GAUGCAGGGCGAAGCCCGGGCCUUGACGUUCUCUUCAGCAAGGAUUCCGCCCGUCAAGCGCCAGCAGCCGCUCCUAAGGAACUCUGAUCCGCACACUGGCUCUAUGGGGUGCGAACCGCUCACUCCCUCGGUAGAGAGGGCAAAAAGCAGAGACGACCGGGAAAUACCACAGAGGAGCAAAUCACCUCCGGAAGUGGCGUUUUGGGUCGCUUUCUACCAUGCAGUCCAAUGAACUCUUUCUUUUGGCAACAAAUUCCGUCUUCGAGCCCGCCCAAGGUGAAGAACAUUUUGAUUGGUUGUUUAGUCGGGGGACACAGAGACUCACGGGAGCUUCGUCCAAGCCCUUGCAGUGAUGUCUUGGCAUUGCCCAUUUUCAAGCAGGAAGAUUCCAGCCUUCCAUUGGAUGGUGAAACAGAGCACCCACCCUUUCAGUAUGUGAUGUGUGCUGCAACGUCACCAGCAGUAAAACUGCAUGAUGAAACGCUUACUUAUUUGAACCAAGGUCAGUCAUAUGAAAUUCGGAUGCUGGAUAAUCGGAAAAUGG
This 544-nucleotide small RNA is filed under the name Pan troglodytes (chimpanzee). Its description in RNAcentral is "processed transcript". The record is from RNAcentral. Lineage: Eukaryota; Metazoa; Chordata; Mammalia; Primates; Hominidae.